RNAcentral lists this long non-coding RNA (263 nucleotides) under Ananas comosus (pineapple). Its description in RNAcentral is "long non-coding RNA (ACOM_LNC011328)". The record is from RNAcentral. Lineage: Eukaryota; Viridiplantae; Streptophyta; Magnoliopsida; Poales; Bromeliaceae.
AUAUACCACUAAAUUAUCUAAUAUGAAUUUUUUAAAGAUUCGUUAUUUUCAGAAUUAGUUAUAAAUUUUGACUCUUCAAUACUAUAAAAAGAUAAUAAACAGUAUUCUACUACAGAAGCUUUAUUUCAAAAUGAUGUGCUUUGCUAUCUAACAACUGGUGUAUUUAAAAAAAUAUGCUCUUCUUUCUUUAAAGUGGAUGCUUUUCAUACACUCCUUUUUAGAGUAUAAAAUAUACAUCUCAUCCGAUCUGCGAGUGGAGUAUC